UCUCCGUUGGUGAACCAGCGGAGGGAUCAUUACAGAGUUCUCUAACUCAGAAACCCAUGUGAACUUACCAUUUGUUGCCUCGGCAGAGCCUACCCGGUAACUGUUCGGAGAAGCUACCCUGUAGCUACCCUGUAACGGCCUACCCUGUAAAGCACUGCCGGUGGACUUUUAAACUCUUGUUAUUUUAUAGUAAUCUGAGCGUCUUAUUUUAAUAAGUAAAAACUUUCAACAACGGAUCUCUUGGUUCUGGCUUCGAUGAAGAACGCAGC
Molecule: unclassified non-coding RNA, 269 nt
Filed under: uncultured fungus
Lineage: Eukaryota; Fungi
Description: sequence contains ITS1, 5.8S rRNA gene
Rfam family: 5.8S ribosomal RNA (bases 221-269)
Source: RNAcentral